ACAUGAGCAAAAUCUCAACUUUAUUAGAAGAGACGCAUUUAUUAGAUAAAAAGCCAGUUCAUGCUUUUACAGUAUGAAAAUUGGUGAUUUAUAAUAACUUAGCAAAUCGCAAAGUGAAAACAGGCGAUAAAUCAUUCAAGUUUCUGACCUAUCAGCUUUCGACGGUAUGGUAUUGGCUUACCGUGGCAGUGACGGUUAACGGGGGAUUAGGGUUCGAUUCCGGAGAGGGAGCCUGAGAAACGGCUACCACAUCUAAGGAAGGCAGCAGGCGCGCAAAUUACCCAAUUCUAACAGUUUGAGAGAGGUAGUAACAAGAAAUAACAAUACAAGGCAGUUAAAAUGCUUUGUAAUUGGAAUGAUAGAAAUUUAAACCCUUUUUAAAGUAUCAAUUGGAGGGCAAGUCUGGUGCCAGCAGCCGCGGUAAUUCCAGCUCCAAUAGCGUAUAUUAAAAUUGUUGCAGUUAAAAAGCUCGUAGUUGAAGUUCUGCUGAAAGUAACCGGUCUGCUUUUAAUAAAAGUGGUAUCUUGGUAUGUAUUUAGCAAUGAUGUCCUUUGAAGUGUUUUUUACUUUAUUGUAAUAAAGCAUAUUCAGGACUUUUACUUUGAGAAAAUUAGAGUGUUUCUAGCAGGCUGACGCUUUGAAUACUGCAGCAUGGAAUAAUAAG
RNAcentral lists this ribosomal RNA (664 nucleotides) under Hepatozoon canis. RNAcentral describes it as "bacterial SSU rRNA". It matches the Rfam family "Eukaryotic small subunit ribosomal RNA", at positions 169 to 821 of the family's 1831-position model. The record is from RNAcentral. Lineage: Eukaryota; Apicomplexa; Hepatozoidae.